AAUAUUGCACAAUGGAGGAAACUCUGAUGCAGCGACGCCGCGUGAACGAUGAAGGCCNNNGGGUCNUCAAGUUCUGUCCUAUGNGACNAUAAUGACGGUACCCUAGGAGGAAGCCCCGGCUAACUACGUGCCAGCAGCCGCGGUAAUACGUAGGGGGCGAGCGUUGUCCGGAAUUAUUGGGCGUAAAGGGUUCGUAGGCGGUCUUUUAAGUCAGAUGUGACAGGUAACGGCUCAACCGUGGUAAGCAUUUGAAACUGAGAGACUUGAGUUAAGGAGAGGAAAGUGGAAUUCCUAGUGUAGCGGUGAAAUGCGUAGAUAUUAGGAGGAAUACCAGUGGCGAAGGCGACUUUCUGGACUUAAACUGACGCUGAGGAACGAAAGCGUGGGGAGCAAACAGG
This 398-nucleotide ribosomal RNA is filed under the name uncultured bacterium. Its description in RNAcentral is "partial 16S ribosomal RNA". It matches the Rfam family "Bacterial small subunit ribosomal RNA", at positions 360 to 776 of the family's 1533-position model. The record is from RNAcentral.